This 16143-nucleotide long non-coding RNA is filed under the name Solanum tuberosum (potato). RNAcentral describes it as "long non-coding RNA (STUB_LNC007537)". The record is from RNAcentral. Lineage: Eukaryota; Viridiplantae; Streptophyta; Magnoliopsida; Solanales; Solanaceae.
CUGUCCCUUUACCUUUUCUUUACGUUCCAAGUCGCCUUUAGUCUAGUUGUCGAGAUGAUCUAUUCGUUCUACUUCAUUUUCUGAUCGCCAUGAAUAUAUAACAUUGUUUAAUUUUUUACUUUGUUUUACCUCAAGUUGAACGAAUAAACCAAGAAUGUCAACAUUAUGAGUUAGGUGUUGUAUCGGCCAUCGUUUCGAAUUGUUAAAUCGAAUUUGUUGCUGCCCGUUUUGACUCGUUACUAAUUCAUUUUGGUCGAGUCUAUUUUGAAAGGCAAGUUUUGGUUUUCCCUCUUUGUAGUUUACAACAUGUCCUAUUUUUCUUGUUUCUAUUCUCAAGUUCGAUGCCUACGGCUCGUUCCUUUCGCCUCUUGAAGUGUUGAAAUCUGAAAGUUUGCGUGAUAUUGUCUUAUUGUCAACUAGAAUUUAGUUGUUUACUGAUGUUAGUGCACUUCUCGGUAAGCAUCGGUUCUAUCCCCGAUUAAAUUUAGCUUGUAUGUCAUUUUGGUCUCAACCCUGAAGCAUGCUAAAAUUUGAUUUAAAUGUCUGUACCCAAAUCAUUUUCAUUCAAUGGUGUUUGGUUGCCUCCUCCGUCCCUUCCCCAUUAUUGUUUGAAGUGUAGCAUGUUCCUGCUUAGCUUACCUCCUUUUAUCCAUGUUCGUGUCUCCAUCUGACGUAGAGUUUUAGUCAAAGAAAAAUGCCUAAUUUUGCUGCUUAAGUAUGAGUUUCUUAGCAUGCCUCCCUUAUCUCUUUCUUAUUUUGGUUUUUUUUUCAUGAGGUCUAUAUUGGUAUUGCUCAAGUAUAUAGUUCAUUCUACUUUAGUAUAGAAUACUAAUAUUUGUUGUUAGAUUUGAACUUAGUGUAUGUUAGUCGAUGCAGUCUUUGGAUAUCAAUUUCAGUGGGGGUGUGGCCCUUUUGUGUGGCUAGUCUAUUUAAAAUUUGAGAUUGCUUUGUCUUAGCUAAUUUUAAGAGAUUAAAUGCUAGUUUCAUUUUGUCGAUUUAAGUUGUCAUUUUCCCAAAAUUUAAGUCAAUCUUUAAUAUAGUUUUACUUGGUCUAUUCUCUAAUGUUGCUUUAUAAAUUAAUUAGUCAUCUUCUGUAUGUGAUAUGUCAUUAAAACUUAUUUGUCUUAUUUGCAUUAAAUUGGUCCAAGUUUCUAUUCAUUUUUUGUAUGUUAUGGCAGUGUGUUUCUUAUUGGCUCAUCUUAUAAUUUUAUUUGAAAACAUAUGUAAAUUUAUAUGAGUUUAAAUGGAUAAUAAGGGAAUUAGGGGUUUUCCUUCCUCCUUGAAUCAGAUUAUGCGUCAAGUAUUUAGGGUAAUCAUUUCUUGAUUGUUCGUUUCAAUUAACUUCUUUACUUAUUAUUUGAUUUUUCCCUUGAGAUUUAGAAUGAUCAGAUGUCUUAAUGCGUCCUAUUAAAUUUCCUUUGAUAGCAUUAUUAAUUCAAGUGCGUUACAUUUUAUCUAUGUUUGACUUUACUUGGGAUUCUUAAGAUCUGUUAGAUCAGCCUCUAUUAAAUACUUACUAAUUCAUUUCUUCUAUCCCUUUUUUCUUUACAUGUGCAAUCUGCCAGAGUUCACUACAAACUCUUAUCUUCUUUCUUGCAUUUUGGAAGAGCCAUAAAGGUUCAAACCAUCUUUAUCGAGUCAGCCAACUAAAUUUCGACGAACAGGUCUCGAAAGUGGAAAGAUGUGAAAGCGGAGGAGAAUUGAAAAGAUUGGCCCACUCUUUAUACCAAAAAUGUAUUCUGUUAUUAUUAGGCUUAAGUCUAUCUAGUCAUUAUGUUUAUUAUUUUGUUAGAAUUUAGGACAGGUGAAAAGUUGGGCCUUCAAAGGAAAAAUAUUCUUUUACGUUUGUAUAGGACAGGUGCAGGUGACUCAAACGGGCCUUCCCCAAAAUAAAAACGAGCCCAAGUACUGGUCCAGGCGAACAUUAAAACCAAAUUUUGGCCCAAAUAUCUUCCCCUCUUCAUAUUGAAUAUGUUUAUUUACUCGUUAGUAUUUGCCGUUGAUCUUAAGGUCGAAAAAUUUAAACCCCAAGAAGACACCCAUUUUAAUUAAUCACUUAACUAAAUUAUCCGUCUCUUACUUGGCUUAAAAAGUAAAAUAAAAUAAAAUAAAUAAGGUUACAAAAUACUUCACUUAAAUAAAUAUUUUCUAUUUCUCCCUUAAAAUGGUUCUAACUGUAAAAUGGUUUAGUUUUGCAAUUCAAGCUAAGUUAAAAUUAUUUUAACCAAAUAAUUAAAUGCCAGAAAACCGCAUAUUUGCUGGCAUUUUGGGUGCUUUCAAAUCCUUUUCGAAAUGCUAAUAUGAACCCCAUACCCUUUAAAUAUUUUCAAUUGAUUUUUGUUUUAAUCUUUUGAAAAAAUGGUUUUCUUGAUUUUUUUUCUUUAAAAAUUAAGUGACGACUCUUAAAACCAAUCUUAAGUCGAAUAAUUAUUAUAAAAAUAAAACAGAAUGACGACUCUGCUGGAGAAAUGAAUGGGUUCUAAUCUUAAAAUUGAUUUGUUUGGCUAUGUGUUUUAAGUGCUACUUGUUUCAAUUUUUGUAAAUUAUAAAUUGUUGCAUUCAUAGCAUUUCUUGUUGUAUGUAUUGUAUAUUAAGAACGGUUUCUACAUAAUCGCAACCGGACUUUUUAUACUCAACCCUUUUCUGAAAGAAUCGGCAAUUUAUUGGUACGUCAUGCGUCCAAUGAUUGUCGUGAGUUCUUGCCUAAGUUGUCCAAUUGGGUUCACGGUCUUUCAAAAGUCACUCUUAGCCAACUAGCGUAGAGCGAAACCAAAUCCCUAAUUUAGUGCAUUUUGAACUAAGUUAACCCAACACUCAAGGCUUGUUGGGCCCAUUAGAGACCACCUUAAGUCCAAAAUGGCCCAUGGCCUAAACGGACGAUCAUACUUAUGAAUUUAAAUUUGAAGGUUGUAUACGUCGUUUGGCACACCAUCGUUCCUUGGGGUCGGGAAUUUAAUAGUUUGUUCUAGUCGAAGAAGGAGCUAUCCAAGCUACUAGUCCAUCGUAAGUCGUUGGCACCUGGAGAUGACAAGAAGUUGAAGAAUGAAGGUCCUUCAUUGGAAGCAUAGUUUAGGAUUGUACCUCUGCGUGAGACUGACUAUUUGUAUUCCAUUUUCCCUGUUUUGUAUCCCCAUUUAGUUUAUCCAUAAAAUUUGUAUAAUUUGGGUUUUGGGACAAUGAAAUGUUUCAAAUGAUAUAUACAUCCUUCAAAUCGUUAGGUCUACCCUUGGCAUGAAAGGGUCACAUAUUUGUUUAGAACGCGCAAUAACUGUUUAUGUGUCAUAACUGUUUGUGUAAUUAUGUUGCUUUAUUUGGAGAUGUUCUAGCCUACACUUUUUGGAAAAUUUCUAGAAACCCCUAAGCACAAAUAUUGAGUCACUAUCAAAAGUGCGUCCAAAUACUCUUCGAGUCUUUAGUUUCCCAAGAAAAUUCGAACUUCAUUUUUCAAAUCUUACUCUCUCAUGACAGAAAUAAAUUUUCCAUCUCAAAUAAAAAAAGAUUCAAGUUGGUCGAACUACGUAGGACCUGAAUUCUCUUUUGUGAGAUACGUAGGCAGCCUUUCAAGAUUCGGUCCCCAUUUCUGAGAAAUUCUAUAUUUCCAACUCUUACAAAGAAAUUAGAGUUACAUCUCAAUCAAAAAUCAAAGUAUGAAAAUGAAAUAUACAAUCGACUUUGUCCCAACUCAAGUCGACAUUUUUGGUCCACUAAGCUCAAAAUCAAAUAAUCAAAUUUCUGUCUAUUUAGUCAUUUCUCUAUAUAGGCGGGCUAGUUUAUCUUCAAGUGAAGCAACUCUUACAUGUUUAUAUUUCUCUAAUGGGUGUGAUAUUUUGUAUUAUUUAUCAUCGACACAGACUAACACAUUUGCCUUUGAGUUGUUUUUCUUUGUCAGGUACUUAAAACUGAUUUGUGUUGAGAAAAUGGCAGAACAUCCAUACUUCACAAGGUUCAAAGACCCCAAAGAUCCCCUCUCCGACCAAUGUUUGUCAAAAGGCAAAGAAAAAGUGGUUGAAAAUGCUGAGAACACUGAUUUGACCGAAAUUACUGUGAAUGACCCCAUUAUUGCUGAACAGAACAAGUUGAUUGCACAAUUGCUCCAAUAGAUUGUUAAAAUGAGGGCUUAAAUGGAUAAAACCCGAGAUUUGACUAAUUUGGCUAUCAUUGCCAACGCUCCUAAUCCAGAUAACGAAAGGCCUCUACUUCAUUUUCCUAUUUCGGAUCCAACAUCCGAACGUUUUCCAAACAAUUCAACCACCGCUACGAUUCCAAAACCUCCCUUCAUCGACUUAACCACCCCUAAUCCACACCAUGCUAGCUCCUCACACCAAAAGUCACAUAUUCCUCAAAAUCCAAAUACCAAUGUUUACCAUAAUUUUUCUCCGAUCCAUCAAACCCCCUACUCAAAUUGUUCAAAAUCCACCUACCACUCAACCCAUUGCUCUAAAAACUGCUUUUCAUAUUUCAACGUCGCCAGAAUCAUACCCUCAAUUUACCACACAUUUUUUAACUUGAUGAUUGUGAGAAGAAGGAGAAGGAGCGGAAAGUCAUAAAAGGAAAGGUUGAGCAAGGCAUCAGAGAGGAAAUCAUGAAUGCAAUGAAGGACUUUCAAUACACUUCAGACAUUGUCUGGUUAAAUUAUGAAGAUUUGUGUCGUCAUACACAUUUGAAGCUUCCAAAAGGUUUUAAAGUACCAAAGCUUGAUACAUUUAGUGGAGUUGAGAAUCCUUUGACUCAUUUGAAGGCUUAUUGUGAACAACUCAUUGAAGUUAGGAAAGAUGAAGCUUUGUUGAUGCGACUCUUUAGCCGAAGUCUAAAAGGAGAAGCGUUGGAAUGGUUUAUUUCUAAAGAAAACAAGCAGUGGCCAAGUUGGAAUGUUUUGGCUAAAGACUUCAUUGAAAGGUUUGACUACAAUGUAGAAUUCAUUCACGAUCGAUACUCUUUGUAAAGAAUCAAACAGAAUUCUACUGAAAGCUAUCGAGAGUAUGCCUACCAUUGGAGAAAAGAGGCUGCAAGGGUUAGGCCUCCCAUGAUCGAGAAAGAAAUUGUUGAAGUUUUCGUGCGCAUUCAAGAGUCGGAGUACUACAAUAGGAUGUUACUCAUUUUAGGAGGGAAGUUCAGUGAGAUAGUUAAAAUUGGUGAAGCUAUUGAAGACGGUCUCAAGACUGGCAAAAUCAUCCGAAUGACUCCUCGAGAUGAAUCCUCAGGACCAUUGAGGAGGAAGAGGAAAGAUGUUUCCUCUAUCUCAUUUGAAUCGAGCCAAAAAUCAAAGAGGCAUGCCAGUGUUAAUGUUCGAAAGCCUUCACUAUCCAAAACCUACCUUUUAACUCCACAAAAUCCUUACCCCAUCAAACCAAAUUACCAAACUCCACUACCAAAUCAUCCAAAUUACCAAGCUCCAUUGCCAAAUUACCCAAAUGCUUAAUCAAGUCACCAAGCUGUAUUACCAAAUUACCCAAAUGCCCUUUAUAGUGUCACGACUCGGGAGCACCCCCAAGUCGUAACAAGGCGUACUCGACCCCGAAAGGGUCUUAUACAAACCACAUAGUCAUUCAUUGCAUUCAAUAAUGAUAAUAGUGCGGAAUGAAAAACUUAUUUACAUCCACAUCAUUCAAACUUCAUUAAAACAACUUUAAAAACACACAGCGGAAGUCUAAGUCUCACAUGGCCAUCUUAGACACAAUCACAAAACAUAAGUAGGGACACGACCCUUUACAAUCGAAACAAAACUAAAAGUGUCUAUUACAUGAACAAAAGAACUUAAAAGUCUUAUCCUCGAAUCCAUGAGGACAUACCAAGUCUUGGAGGAAAGCAAUCCAACACUUCAAACUAGCUAGGAGGGAUCACUUGCCGGAACCUACACUUAUAGUAAAAACAUGAAGAAUAUGGGUUAGUACACAAAAUGUACUAAGUAUGAUGACCAUGCAAAACAUGCUUUAAAAGGGACAUUUUGGUUAGAAACCAUGCAUUAUGCCACUUUUUGAAGUACCAUGAAUAGUUGCAUAAAAGACAUACAAUACAAACAUAAACAUCAAGUAAGUCAUAAUAUCACCUUUAAACAAUAUCAACAUGAAAACCUUUACCUUGGACCUUCACCUCAAGAAACCCUUAUGCUAUACCUCGUGCAAUGUAUGGAUGGCGUCCCAUACCACCAUCCAUACUAAGGCACCACAUUAAGGUCACUUAAAGUAACUUAUCAUUCCUUUCUUUCACCUUUGCACAAUAUUCAUACAUAAGAGGUAUAUCACUAAUUAAGACAUGACAAGGGAAAAUAACUCAUAAUAUAACCCAAGUAUAGCAUGCAUCUCAUAUUAAGCAUUUGAGAGCCAACAUUCUUUAAUAACCUCAUUUAGGCCACAAUUGUAUCACAUACAUUAGGAUUUAGAGAAACUCACUAUGACCCUCUCCAAGACUACUCGUGCAAUGUAUAGGUAGCAUCCCAUACUACCACCUACACUUUGUAGAACCUAUCAAGAAACCAUAAUGAAAUCUCACAUGAUGGGAAGUAAGCAUUUAACCGACAUAGACCAUGAGAGCUUGUAAUGGAAUCCGGUGUCAUAAGUCCCCACACCGUAAAGAGGUGGUCUACUUGCCUAAGGAAGACCGGUAUAUAUAGCUUAAUGGAUCCACUAGCUUCCUAUGCGGGCACAUAGUUUAUGGGAUAAGGUAGACGAUCAUUGAAACUCAUGCCUAACUGUCGGGGGAGUUUCCAUCUAACCAAAUCCGCUCGGUGCUUAGCCUACAUUCCCAUAGAAUAGUUCAUUACUUUGACAUCAUCACACAUGAAAGGGUGCCAUAAGCCUACCGAUUCAAGGUACAUUAUUUAACACAUGAAAGGGUGCAAUAAGCCUGCCGAUUCAAGNNNNNNNNNNNNNNNNNNNNNNNNNNNNNNNNNNNNNNNNNNNNNNNNNNNNNNNNNNNNNNNNNNNNNNNNNNNNNNNNNNNNNNNNNNNNNNNNNNNNNNNNNNNNNNNNNNNNNNNNNNNNNNNNNNNNNNNNNNNNNNNNNNNNNNNNNNNNNNNNNNNNNNNNNNNNNNNNNNNNNNNNNNNNNNNNNNNNNNNNNNNNNNNNNNNNNNNNNNNNNNNNNNNNNNNNNNNNNNNNNNNNNNNNNNNNNNNNNNNNNNNNNNNNNNNNNNNNNNNNNNNNNNNNNNNNNNNNNNNNNNNNNNNNNNNNNNNNNNNNNNNNNNNNNNNNNNNNNNNNNNNNNNNNNNNNNNNNNNNNNNNNNNNNNNNNNNNNNNNNNNNNNNNNNNNNNNNNNNNNNNNNNNNNNNNNNNNNNNNNNNNNNNNNNNNNNNNNNNNNNNNNNNNNNNNNNNNNNNNNNNNNNNNNNNNNNNNNNNNNNNNNNNNNNNNNNNNNNNNNNNNNNNNNNNNNNNNNNNNNNNNNNNNNNNNNNNNNNNNNNNNNNNNNNNNNNNNNNNNNNNNNNNNNNNNNNNNNNNNNNNNNNNNNNNNNNNNNNNNNNNNNNNNNNNNNNNNNNNNNNNNNNNNNNNNNNNNNNNNNCAACUUACCAUCCUCCAAAGCCAUAAUAACCAUUACUCAAUUCCCAACAAUUCUAUCACCACAAGGUGAUUCACCCAUAAUUUGCCCAUAAGGCCACAAUCCUCAAUUCAUCCAUAUACCAACAAUUCAUCAUAAAUAGAUAUACAAAACCAUAUAAAUCAACAAUACAAUCCGAUCUAAACACAAUUUCAUCAACAUUAAAUCAUAGGCAUUAAACCCACUUCAUAAGCAAAUUCUAGGCUUUUAAUGAAAACAUGGGUUCUUGAAGAAGUUUCAUAUAAAAUCAUCUUAAAAUCAUAAAUAGAACUUCAAUUCACCAAUAUAAUGACUUUGAAAACAUUUUACCCAUGAACCCAUACCUAGAAUAGAAAAUAGAAGUUUUGUUCUUUGAAGACUUUUGAAACCCUUUUUAAUGGACUCCUUGAAGGAAAGAUAAUCAAGGAUCAAGGGUCACCAUACCUUUGUUAAGAUUCCCCAAGAAAAUUGAUGAAGAAACCACCUUCAAACCAAGCCCUAGCUCCAAGUUCUUGACCUUCUUAAAUGGAGGAUUGUUGAAAGAGAAAUAUUUGAGAGGAGGUGGGUUUCUUUUUAAUUCUAAUGGGAGUGACUUAAAAGGAAGAAUUUUGGUCAAAAAGGGUUUUAUAAUUGCUAGGAAAUGUAAAGAAUAAAAGGGACUCAACUUAGGAAAAUAAUUAAGGACCCACAAAGUUAAACUUAAAGUUUUCACUAAACCCGUCUAAGCUCGUCCUUUUAGACAGUGCUUCACUAUUUUGGGCAUAGAUUUUUACUCCGAGAUCGGAAAAGGGCAAACUCGGUGGCGUUGGAAAGAGGACUCAGAUACCUUUAAUUGAUUAGGUAAAGUUACGCCUAUUUUGUUUUGAGCUAAAAGAUAUCAUCAUUUGAAUUUGACCCUAAAAGUCGUAACUUUAAAAAUUUGCCCCUUGCCCGUCUGUUCCAGUGGGAUUACUCAAAGGCUGGUCAACUGGGCAGUCCACUAGGCUAACUUGCUAGCCUAGGCCCUUGCUUGCACCCUAGGAUGCUACUUAGCUCCAUUUAAGUUCUAAAACAGCAUAAACAUCAACCUAAGCUCCCACUAACCCAAAUGUCAAGGCUCAAGUUCAUUCUAUCAUUUUCCGAGUCGUUACAUAUAGCCAUCAAUCUCCACAAUACCAAAAUUAUCAAACGCCAACACCUAUUCACCAAAAUCCUCCCAGUUACCGCCAAGUACCUCUAUCUUCACGAAAUAAUCUUUCUUGUCAGGGUUUUUUGAAGAAACCUACUCGAGUCUUUACUCCUUUGGUUGAAAGUCGAACCCAACUUUUUGAGAGAUUGAAAGUGGCUGGUCUGAUACGAACAAUUGAUCCAAAAAAUGUCAAUGCCAAUUCCAGACUUUACAGGCCCGAUCUUCAUUGUGCUUACCAUUCAGGAGGUGCUGGACAUACCACUAAGGAUUACAUCAACUUGAAACAUAAAAUUCAAGACUUGAUUGAUCAAAGAAUUGUCACUCUUCAAACUGUCACUUCUAAUGCCAAAAGUGAUUCGGUGUUGAAUUGUGGAGGAUUUACUAUAAAUAUGAUUGACCCAAAGUUUCAAGCACCUCCCCGUCAAAACGCUCCAAAUUAUCGUCAAAUGCCUCUACCUCAACAAGGCCAUUAUGAUCCUCCUCGUCCACGUCUUGAGAAGAAACUUGCUCGAAAUUUUACUCCUCUUAUUGAAAGUCGGACGAAGUUGUUUGAGCUAUUGAGUGUGGCAGGUAUUAUUCAUCCGGUCAAGCCCAAGCCAGUCGAUACUAGCUCAAGAUUUUACCGAGCCGAUCGAAGGUGUGCGUAUCAUUCCAACAGUGUUGGGCAUGAUACUGAAGAUUGUAUUAAUUUGAAGCACAUGAUCCAGAACUUGAUCGAUCAGAAAGUGAUCAGGACUAUUGUACCAGCAUCAACAGUAAUCCUCUGCAAAACCAUAGAGGUGUUACUAUCAAUAUGAUAGAGACGGAGGAUGAGUGGUGCAUGGUAAAGAUGAUAGUUCCGGCUGGUGCUAACAACCUUGGGAAAGUUGUAGCUUCUCCUAGCAUAAAUGAGAAACUCAAUUUUACAAGCAUGACACCCCAUCAAGCUUUUGCUUUAGUCUCAAGAGAGGGUCAGAACAAGAAGGAGAUUAAUCAUGUUCCAUCAAGGUAUGUGCCUCAUUUAUGCCAGUCCUUUCUGGUAGAGAAAUUUGCCAAUGAUGACGAUCUUGGAGAAGGAACUGGGAUCUUUUUGAAGAAGGUAAUGUUGCACCCAAGAAGAUGAUCGAGAUGCCAAGCAUACGAGAUGCCCAUUGGAGCAAGUUCUUAAUUGGACUUCCAUUCCGCUCUUGAUUCCUCGUUCAUCUUGAUAGACAAAGAUUGAUCUUAUGUUAUUUCCAAAAUUGGGGGUAGUCCGAAUGAGGCCCGGAACCCACCUUUUGUGUUAUUUUACCUAAUUAUGUUUUAAUUUCCCUCGUAACGUUUUGAAAAGGAAAAAAGGCUCAUGGUCAUAGCUAAAGUUCGUAUUUCCUUUUUUUCAAUGAAAGCCUCUUCUAUCCCGAAAAUUUAUUUUGCUUGCUUUAAUCUUUCUAUCUAACGGUCUUUGUUUCUUAUUUCUGUAAAAAAAUAAUUUUUUUUAACCUGUCAAUAGCAUGUCAUGUCACAAGCUGAAUGGACAAAAUGUGGUACAUGAAAAUGAGUUAGAAGAGCGUGAUGAGGAGAUCAUGAUAUUCGAACACCUUGUCAAAGAUUUGAAACAGUUUGAGAAUCCAAAUAAUUUGAAUCUGGAUGAGACAGAAAUUGUAAAUCUGAAAAAGGAUGACUGUGUCAAAGAAGUCAGAAUUAGGGUCCAUCUGAGAGAAGAUCCGAAAAGAGAACUCAAUAGUUCACUUGGAAAAUACAUCGAUGCAUUUGUUGGAUCACAUGUCGUGGUCGAACAUAGACAGUCAUCUCAAGUUUCCAAUCAACGCGGAUGCUAUGCAGAGCUAUUAUAUUUGAAGAUUCAGAGUUUCUUUUAUUUAUUUCCUUGUAAUAGUAUCAUUUGCUUGUAAUCGUCCUAUGUUUUAUAGUUCGAAAAUUAGCUCUUGUCAUGAACUACGUCUGACCUAAAUUCUGAAGAAUGAGAUACGUAGGCAGCCUAUGUUGGCUUCGGUCAUCCCUUCAUAUAUUUUCAAUAUUUCUCUUUUAUAUUUGAACUACGUUCGACUUGAAUUAUCAAGAUUGAGAUACGUAGGCAGCCUAUGUCGAUCUCUGUCGUUUCCUUAUUAAAAUUUCUUAAUUUUUGUUAAUCCUCAAGAGGGGAGCUACGUUUGACCUGAUUCCUACCUCAACGGGAUACGUAGGUGCCACAAUGGCUCGGUCAUAUCUCCCAUAAGUUUUCUAUUUUUCUUUACAAUAGAAACUGAGACAUAAUUUUUGAGAGGGACUCAAAAUUUCUCAAGAAGAGGAUCUCUACAACAAGUCAAGACUGAAGAUACAUUGCGAGUUGCAACUGGGACAGAAUUUUUGAGAGGGUCUCAAAAAUUCUACAAGUCAUAUAUCAAUAGUUCAAGCUACUCCAAGACAUCUAACUGGGAUAGAGAUUUCUUAGGAAGGCCUCAAAAAUUUAUCCAAGCGUAACCAGAAGUUUGUAGAUAGUUUUGAGCAUUUAGAGCAUGAUUAGAAGUUUAGAGCUAACUUCAAUUGACCUCUGGCAUAGUUGAAGUUCAUAGUCAACUUCAACAAUCUCCGACACCGUUGAAGUUCAGAGUCAACUGCAAAAAAUUUCAAUUAUAACAGAUUUCAGCAGGACCAUGUCAAAGAUUUUCAAAGCCUUAAGGAUCAUUUGAAUUCUCUAGAAGAAGUUAUCGGACACGACAAAGUUUUGAACCGAGGGAGUUCAUUAAGCUUGACGUGACAUGAUACUUGGCAUCGACGUUUUCCAAUUACAACCUUUUGAAAACUUUUUUUUUUAAAUAAAAAAAUUGCCUAUAUGUUUCAAAUAUUUUUGCAUAAAAUGUUUUGUCUUGUCUAUCAAGAAGAAAGAGAUCAGAGCGAUCAACUGAAUAUAGCAAGACAAGGAGCAAGCGUCUGAAGAAGUCAACACAGAUCAAUAUGUUUUAAAACCUAACAAUUUUUCUGUGGAUGAAGGUCUAUAAGAUUUCCUCAAGUUCACCACAUUCCUCCAUUCAACGAAUAUGGAUAAGUCAAAAGGGCGAGGAGUUCCCCAAAAUUGACAACUUUUCUGUGGAUGCAGGAAAGUCAUUAAAUUUUUUCAGAAGAAAAAGAAACAGUUCAGAAUACGAGCAACAACACCUUGUUCAAAUUCCCAGCAAAGCAUGUGUCACAAUGAAUACAAAUGUUCAAAUGAGAACAAGUGAAAGUGUCACUCUCAACAUAUACAAGCAUCUACAAUGGAAUCAAAUUACAUUUUUCAGCAUCAAAGGACAUUUCUACAGUAUUAUCAAAUGAGAUAGUACCACCACCCAAAAGGACAUCAUCGUCAUUUUAUUGAUGGAAUACCAUCAUCCUGUCAAUGGAUCAAUAUAAUCCUACCAAUGGAUCAUCAACGAAGAAUCAUCGUCCUAUCAAUGGAGCAUCAACAUCGUCCUACCAAUGGAUCAUCAAUGAAAAAUCAUCAUCCUAUCAAUGAAGCAUUAACGUCAUCAUCCAGAGUGACAUCAACAUAAUCCUAUCAAUGGAGCAUCAACGUCAUCAUCCUGCCAAUGGAUCAACAUAAUCCUACCAAUGAAUCAUCGACGAAGCAUCAUCAUCCUAUCAAUGGAGCAUCAACAUCACCCUACUAAUAGAGCAUCAAUAUCAUCCUACUAAUGGAUCAUCAACCAAGAAUCAUCAUCCUAUCAAUGGAGCAUCAACAUCAUCCUACCAAGGGAUCAUCAACGAAGCAUCAUCAUCCUAUCAAUGGAGCAUCAACAUAAUCCUACCAAUGAAUCAUCUUUCUAUCAAUGAAGCAUCGUCAUCCACAUCAUAUCAAGUCAUCAUCUACUACAUCAAAACCGAUGGAGGCUGACGUCACAACAUUUAUAGAAAAAAACAUUUGUUGAAUACGGUAAAAUGUAUCACUUCUUUAUUUAAAUUAUAGUUUCUGCUAACAAAUUUAUUUCAUUCUUUGUCGAGAACAUCCAAGAGGAUGAAUUCUCAAAUCAAACCACAGGUGCAAACGACAUUAGAAAAGAUGCAGCACAAUGUGGAACUUUUCUUUAGCGCGAGCUGAGAAGCGAAUAAUCAUCGAGCCAUCCACCUCGUUAUAGUUGGAAAAUCAUCGAGCCAACCACCUUGUUACAAUUGGAUAUUCAUCGAGCCAUCUACCUUGUUACAGUUGGAAAAUCAUCGAGUCAUCCACCUCGUUACAGUUGGAUAAUCAUUGAGCCAUCUAGUUCAUUGCAUAGAUCACCGGAGUUUGCCAUGUAGAAAAUAAUCAAUGACAUCUCCAAAUCCUCAGCAAAUCAUGAGUUGUAAUGGAUAUACUGUGUUCGAAAGCGGUAUCCAUUAUCUUUUACUCUCAUUACUUCUUUAUUUUCUCAUCUAGUUGAAAAAGAUGUUUAUGCCUAUUCAUUAAGAUAAACUAUUUGUUAUAUGAAUGAUCUUCCUUUAUUUUUUGACUCAAACCGCUAGCUAAAGCGGCACUAUGUCUACUAAUUAUUUACUUUGAGUGUGCAGACAUAUACUGAACAUACUUAUGUGACAUCUGUCACAACAAGAGUAACUAAAAAGCAUCGUAAGAGAUUCUACCACUUUUUCCAAUUACAGUUUUUACUAACAAGUUUAUUUCAGUCUUUAUCGAGAGCAUCCAAGAGGAUGAAUUCUCAAAUUAAACCACAGGUGCAAACGACAUCAACAAGGAUGCAACACAACGUGGAACUUUUUCUUAGCAGCGAACUGAACAUAGUACAAAGAGGAGUAUCAAACUCUUAGGACGCGAGCUGAGGAACGACUUCCACCACAAUCAAACCACACCCCUAUUAAAAGGCAUGUGGGUUUUUCUUUAGGUUUCAUGGUUUCAGUUUCGCAUCCGAAUUUUUUUUGUCUCCACCGGAAGCAGCUUUCUAAUCCAAGUGACAAUGCGCCAAGAGCUUUGGAAAUCAUUUUCGUGUAAGUUCUUAAUUAUGGGUGUGAAGCACGCCACAUUCAUGGCUAAGAGGUUGCAAGCCUCAUUUCAUACUCGAUUCAUUUUGUCACUCUUCCAGAACCAAAGGUCAUCUUGCUAGAUUUCCUUUUCAACCGAUAGAAUCAAACUAAAAGCAGCCUGAUUUCAUAAAUUGAGGAAUAUGUAGGCUGGAUCAAUGUUGAAAGCUCGGCUGUAUUCCAACAUUCGGUCUUAAACCUUAUUCUCAAGCAUUUCGGUACCUCCAUAAUUCGAUAUCGGGAUGACUUAUAAAUUCUUUUAGAAUCGUGCGUUAAAUCAAGCGUUUCGAACUACAAGUGGCCUGAAUUCUCAUAUAGCCUGAGAUAUGUAGGAAACCCAUUUUUUGGGGUUCAGCCACAAUUCUUAAAGUCCGUACCAAAAUACCCUUUUCAGAAAAGAUGAAGACAUAGUCGGUCAAAAUUGGUUUAGUCAAUUUCAUUUACCUCAAAUUUCUUGCAUCAAUCCGAAUAAAAUGAGGGACAGUUGUUGACACCCAAUUUUGACCCUCCCCGAUAGGAAUCAAUUCACGAGCUUCUCAAUUUUCAAACGAUUUAGAAUAAUUAGUUUUAUAAAAUUCAAAUAUUUCUCGAGGUUACUUUAAGUAAGUCUAGUCGAUUUUUAUAGUAUUUUAUAAUCAUAUGUAUAAUUAGUGUUUCUUAAAUAUUCAAAAAUUGUCUAAAAAAAGGAUUUUAAUUUUAGUAAGUACUUUAUUAAAUUAGUUAGUUUAAAUUAUGGCUAUAAUUUUGAAUCAUUUAAUUUAUAAUUAAAUUAACAAUUUUAUUUCGUUAAGAUCAAGAAGCUCAUAAAUUAAUUAUAUUAUUUCGUCUCAUUUAUGUCGUCAACUGAGUUCGCCAAAUCUAAUUCAAUUUGGGCUAAAGUUUCGACUUAAAAAUUGGUUACAAUUGUAAUUCAAUUACAAAUAUAGUCAUUCCCUAUUUUGGACUUCAAUUUUUUAAAAAGGGGACCGACUUUAGGCUAUUAUUUGCAAAUCUCGGCAGCCACAAUUCUCAUCCCUGCCAUUUCAAGAUUUUGAGCCCAUUUCCCUUGUUCUCAAUUAAUUCCCAACCAAUCCCAACUGCUAUUCAACUCAGCCGAGCCCAAUUUCCCUCGACCCAGCCCAAUUCUGUGUCCACAAAUAAGAAGAGCGCGUGCAAUUCCUAGAAGAACACAACAGCAGUCCAACGUGACAAAGAAACAACGUCCAUUCAAACUUCAUGGCGCAACAACGAUGACGACAAUCUAAGUGGCAUGUACAAUUCUCGAGCAGCAACGAUGUUCACAAGGAAAUGGAAUCAGAAAACGGCGUCAAUACACGAAAAUCGCAGGAGCAGUACUGUGAUUUUCCUUGUCUUCUUUUUCUUCCCGUCCUUUUCAACAGUACAAUCGCAACAUCACGCAUCCUACCCCUUCCCUUUUUCGGAAUUGGGCGAAUUUUCAGAGAAAAGUAUGUUUACCUUAUUGGUGAAAGAUUUUUGAGGGUUUGAAUUUCGAAAUGGGAAUUCCGAUUUUUCCCUGCCCCUAUCCGAUUUUCUCACCUUUUUUUCCCACGAAAAAACCCUAGAUUCUUCCUAUAUAAGCUCCUUUUCUUCUUCAUUGUAGGGGGGAUUUUUUUUUGAAGUAAUAGCCUCCCUUAAGUCACGGAAAAUAUAGUAACAAAACUACAAAGUUAUACAAGGUCACGAAACCAAAUACACCAAGAUCAGUUUCUGUUUUUCCUCUGUUCGCUGUUACUAUAAUUCGUUGGGAUUCUUGGAGUUUCCUUUGUGGUCACGGAAAGCUCUCGCUCAACUCGCUUGGUCCCCGCCCGCUGCCCCGAGAAAGGUAUAAACCUUCUCUCUGUAUCUCGUUCUCAAUGUAGUAUAUUGUGUGUAUUCGAUAUUUGUUUUUCUUGUGAGUUUUCGGACUAUAAGCUUGGAUCUGAAAUCAAUAAGGUUUACUUUGAUUCAUGUUGGUCAUGUUGUUCACACUUAUAUGAUUUACACUUUGAAUAUGUUGGUUAUGAUGCUCUGUCCCUUUACCUUUUCUUUACGUUCCUAGUCGCCUUUAGUCUAGUUGUUGAGAUGCUCUAUUCGUUCUACUUUAUUUUCUGAUCGCCAUGAAUAUAUAACAUUGUUUAAUUUUUUACUUUGUUUUACCUCAAGUUGAACGAAUAAACCAAGAAUGUCAACAUUAUGAGUUAGGUGUUGUAUCGGCUAUCGUUUCGAAUUGUUAAAUCGAAUUUGUUGCUGCCCGUUUUGACUCGUUACUGAUUCAUUUUGGUCGAGUCUAUUUUGAAAGGCAAGUUUUGGUUUUCCCUCUUUGUAGUUUACAACAUGUCCUAUUUUUCUUGUUUCUAUUCUCAAGUUCGAUGCCUACGGCUCGUUCCUUUCGCCUCUUGAAGUGUUGAAAUCUGAAAGUUUGUGUGAUAUUGUCUUAUUGUCAACUAGUAUUUAGUUGUUUACUGAUGUUAGUGCAAUUCUCGGUAAGCAUCGAUUCUAUCCCCGAUUAAAUUUAGCUUGUAUGUCAUUUUGGUCUCAACCCUG